AUUUUUCUCUUACUUAUUUACCGAGCAUGUAUAUAUAUCAAUGUCGUUGAUUGAUUUGCAUUCAAUUUUUGUUAAAGGAUAUGGUAGAUCACUUUCUUGUAGCAGCGUAUGAAAUGAAAGGAGAUUCUAGUUGCAAUCCUAAUUAUUUCUAUGAUUUGCUUUCCACCUUCUUGACUAAAUCAGAAAUCACCUUAUCAGAGAUGGAUAAAGCUUCGUAUGUGUACAUAAUAUAUAUCUCGAUAUAGAUUUGAGUAGUUAUUAACCAUAUUUG
This 271-nucleotide long non-coding RNA is filed under the name Carica papaya (papaya). RNAcentral's name for it is "long non-coding RNA (CPAP_LNC001864)". Lineage: Eukaryota; Viridiplantae; Streptophyta; Magnoliopsida; Brassicales; Caricaceae. The record is from RNAcentral.